This 1499-nucleotide long non-coding RNA is filed under the name Fragaria vesca (wild strawberry). RNAcentral describes it as "long non-coding RNA (FVES_LNC004167)". The record is from RNAcentral. Lineage: Eukaryota; Viridiplantae; Streptophyta; Magnoliopsida; Rosales; Rosaceae.
CUCAUGGAUUUGCUGAAGUCAAGGCCGGAUCUGGUCGAGAUUCACCGUCGGACGUCGGGUCAUCUCCUAAGCACUGAGCUCCGGCGAGAGGUGGAGGAGCUCCGACGAGAGGUGGAGGAGCUCCGGCGAGAAGUGGAGAUCCAUGACUUGUGCAUUCCUAUAUGGUGUUUUUUGAGAGGAAGGUAAAUGAACGCCAGUAGCGGCAAGCUCUUCUAGUUCACCCUCCACCUGCCUAGCUCCUCCCUCCUCUAUGGGAUCUCCGACAUGGAAUCAGGCCCUCUACGUCCACCAAUGCGGCGGUUCAGCUCCGGCGUAAGUCAAAAUCAAUUUGGGUGCCAGAUUUGGGUGCCCAGAGCAACUUCUUUAGUUAAAAAUGAUGAUUUACUAAGGUAAUAGAUUUAUUACUGGGAGGUAGUAAAUUUACUGUGUCUAUUGGCUAAGGAGAUACUUUAUUGCAAGUUUACUUCCCCUAUUAGAAGUUUACUAGGGGUAGUAAACUUUACUUUUCAGCAUAUAAGUUGAUUUUUUUCUCUAUUUUAAUGUGUAUAGUGACUAUGGAGAUAUUGUAUUGCAUGUUUACUACCCCCAGUAGAUGUUUACUAGGGGUAGUAAACUUUAAUUUUUCGCAUAUAAGUUGGGUUUUGUUGUUUUAAAGUGUAUACUGACCUGGGAAAUAUUGUAUUGCAGGUUUACUACCCCUAGUAGAAGUUUACUAGGGGCAGUAAACUUUAUUUGUCUGCAUCUAAGUUGAUUUUUUUGUGUGUUUUAAUGUAUAUACUGACUAGGAAAAAUAUUGUAUUGCAAGUUUACUACCCCCAGUAAAAUUUACUAGGGGUAGUAAACUUUAUUUUUUCACAUUUAAGUUGAUUUUUCAUUGUUUUAAUGUGUAUAAUGGCAGUAGAGCUACUGUUUUGCAAGGUUACUACCCCGAGUAAAAAGUUUACUACACAUCUAAGUUGAUUUUUCUCUUUUUCAAUGUGAAUUAUGGCAUCGGAGCUACUGUUUUGCAAGUUUACUACCCCCAGUAAAAGUUUACUAGGGGUAGUAAACUUCAUUUUUUCGCAUCUAAGUUGAUUUUUCUCAUUUUUCAAUGUGAAUUAUGGCAUUGGAGCUACUGUUUUUCCAAGUUUACUACCCCCAGUAAAUUCAUUUUUUCGCAUCUAAGUUGAUUUUUUCUCCUUUUUCAAUAUGAAUUAUGUCAUUGGAGCUACUGUUUUGCAAGUUUACUACCCCUAGUAAAAGAUUACUACCUCCAGCAGAAGUUUACUAGGGGUAGUAAAAUUCCGGCCACCGGAUGUCGGCAAUUUUCCGGCAGUCGGAAAAUUCCUGUCACCGAUGACUGGAUUCCGGUGGCCGGAGUUCGGAGUCCGACGACAGGAAUGCGGCCGCCGGGGACUGGUGCCGGAGCCCGGUGUGCUUCCGGCAAAGUCUUCCCUCCAUCUUUUUCACUUUUUCUCUUUAAGUAAAAGCUAAGGGUAAAAAAGUCUUUAAAAUUAUAA